GAUCAAAGUGAUCUGGCAAGCUCAUGAAUGAGGAUUGUUGCAGCUGUGUAGCAAGUCUACCAGACAGUGCAGCCAGCACUGAGUGGAAUUACUUUUUGAUGGACAAAUGGGCAAGGCGUUGUGGCAGACCAAAAGGAUACUAGAGGCUGAAUGGCCCUGAGAGUGCUUCUCUCACUCCCAGUGUAUGGAGUGCAGUUACUAAAGACGACAUGAUCCUGAGAGUGUUUUUCACACCCCCAGUGUAACGAGUUGGAAAGAAGACUGCCUGCCCGAACAUUGAUGAGGCCGGAAAGUCAUCAUGUAGUGCUGGAACCAAUAUGGCUGAAUAUCUCCGCCAGACGACCAAAAGAACAAGAGCCCUGAACCUUUCGUUCUGACUCUCGGGGACAAUCACUUCUACUCCCUGGCAUUCACCAUCAUGAAUGGGCAGGCUCUGGAGCAGAAGAUAUUAUGUUUCGUUGUUGCUUUACAUAAAUCCUAUUGAAAAUUGAUACCUGGUGGGGGAGUAGAGGGUAAAGUUAACUUUUCUUCAGCCCCUUUCCUCAGCAUUAAUUGGUAGGGCUGCUGUUAUUUUCUAAUUAUGGAUUGUGCUUGUAAAGUUUUUGUUUAUUUGUGUGUUCCUUAUUUGUUUAUCUUUUGCAUGACUUCAUUUUGUAGCUGAAAUUAAUAUGUGAAAAUAAACAUUUUGUAUUUUA
This is a long non-coding RNA of Coregonus clupeaformis (lake whitefish), 695 nucleotides long. RefSeq lists it as uncharacterized. The record is from RefSeq and is a predicted model, not a curated record. The transcript has 4 exons. Lineage: Eukaryota; Metazoa; Chordata; Actinopteri; Salmoniformes; Salmonidae.